Regulatory RNA element from Scleropages formosus (Asian bonytongue), 46 nucleotides. It matches the Rfam family "Histone 3' UTR stem-loop". Rfam says of the family: The mRNAs of metazoan histone genes lack a poly-A tail. 3' end processing occurs at a site between a highly conserved stem-loop (modelled by this family) and a purine rich region around 20 nts downstream (the histone downstream element, or HDE). The record is from Rfam. NCBI's taxonomy places the organism in Eukaryota, Metazoa, Chordata, Actinopteri, Osteoglossiformes, Osteoglossidae.
CAAAAGGCUCUUUUAAGAGCCACCUAAGUCUUCUUGAAAGUGCGAA